Molecule: ribosomal RNA, 527 nt
Filed under: uncultured bacterium
Lineage: Bacteria
Description: bacterial SSU rRNA
Rfam family: Bacterial small subunit ribosomal RNA
Source: RNAcentral
GACGAACGCUGGCGGCGUGCCUAAUACAUGCAAGUUGAACGCUAAAGCUUUAACUGGUGCUUGCACCGACUUAAGUUUUUAGAGUAGCGGACGGGUGAGUAACACGUGGGUAACCUGCCCAUCAGAGGGGGAUAACACUUGGAAACAGGUGCUAAUACCGCAUAAUUCCUUUUACCGCAUGGUAAAAGGCUGAAAGGCGCUUCUGGUGUCACUGAUGGAUGGACCCGCGGUGCAUUAGCUAGUCGGUGGGGUAACGGCCUACCGAGGCGAUGAUGCAUAGCCGACCUGAGAGGGUGAUCGGCCACAUUGGGACUGAGACACGGCCCAAACUCCUACGGGAGGCAGCAGUAGGGAAUCUUCCACAAUGGACGAAAGUCUGAUGGAGCAACGCCGCGUGAGUGAAGAAGGGUUUCGGCUCGUAAAACUCUGUUGUUAAAGAAGAACAGGUGUAAGAGUAACUGUUUACACCGUGACGGUAUUUAACCAGAAAGCCACGGCUAACUACGUGCCAGCAGCCGCCGUAACAC